GACGAACGCUGGCGGCGUGCUUAACACAUGCAAGUCGAACGGAAAGGCCCCUUUGGGGGUACUCGAGUGGCGAACGGGUGAGUAACACGUGAGUAACCUGCCCUUGACUUCGGGAUAACUUCAGGAAACUGGGGCUAAUACCGGAUAGGAAUCCUUGCUGCAUGGUGGGGGUUGGAAAGCUUCGGCGGUUUUGGAUGGACUCGCGGCUUAUCAGCUCGUUGGUGGGGUAGUGGCUUACCAAGGCUUUGACGGGUAGCCGGCCUGAGAGGGCGACCGGCCACAUUGGGACUGAGAUACGGCCCAGACUCCUACGGGAGGCAGCAGUGGGGAAUAUUGCACAAUGGGCGGAAGCCUGAUGCAGCAACGCCGCGUGCGGGAUGACGGCCUUCGGGUUGUAAACCGCUUUCAGCAGGGGCGAAGCUUGUGGUGACGGUACCUGCAGAAGAAGCACCGGCUAACUACGUG
This 465-nucleotide ribosomal RNA is filed under the name uncultured bacterium. RNAcentral's name for it is "partial 16S ribosomal RNA". It matches the Rfam family "Bacterial small subunit ribosomal RNA", at positions 28 to 507 of the family's 1533-position model. The record is from RNAcentral.